Molecule: small nuclear RNA, 102 nt
Organism: Ailuropoda melanoleuca (giant panda)
Lineage: Eukaryota; Metazoa; Chordata; Mammalia; Carnivora; Ursidae
Source: Ensembl
GUUCACUUCAGCCGCACAUAUACAAAAAUCGGAACGAUAGAGAGAUUGGUAAGGCCCUUCGGCAAGAAUGACAUACAAAGUCAUGAAACAUUCCAUUUUUUU